This 158-nucleotide unclassified non-coding RNA is filed under the name uncultured Phomopsis. RNAcentral describes it as "sequence contains ITS2". The record is from RNAcentral. Lineage: Eukaryota; Fungi; Ascomycota; Sordariomycetes; Diaporthales; Cytosporaceae.
CAACCCUCAAGCCUGGCUUGGUGAUGGGGCACUGCUUUUACCCAAAGGCAGGCCCUGAAAUAUAGUGGCGAGCUCGCCAGGACCCCGAGCGCAGUAGUUAAACCCUCGCUCUGGAAGGCCCUGGCGGUGCCCUGCCGUUAAACCCCCAACUCUUGAAA